RNAcentral lists this transfer RNA (72 nucleotides) under Camelus bactrianus (Bactrian camel). It matches the Rfam family "tRNA". Rfam says of the family: Transfer RNA (tRNA) molecules are approximately 80 nucleotides in length. Their secondary structure includes four short double-helical elements and three loops (D, anti-codon, and T loops). Lineage: Eukaryota; Metazoa; Chordata; Mammalia; Artiodactyla; Camelidae. RNAcentral also lists the same sequence under 2 other names. The record is from Rfam by way of RNAcentral.
GGAUAUAUGGCUCAGUGGUAGGGUGUGUGCUUAGCCUGCAUGAGGUCCUGGGUUCAAUCUCCAGUACCUCUA